Vespa crabro (European hornet) is the source of this 13098-nucleotide long non-coding RNA. RefSeq lists it as uncharacterized. Lineage: Eukaryota; Metazoa; Arthropoda; Insecta; Hymenoptera; Vespidae. The record is from RefSeq and is a predicted model, not a curated record. The transcript has 4 exons.
AGAUACACGAAAAGUAAUUAAAUGGAUCAAGAAUUGGUGGUGCCUUUCGCGAAAAUCGAAGCAAAAGUACUUGGGGAAUUGGUUCCUAAUUUCGAAAAGCCUAAGAAAGAGAAGGCUAUUGGGAAAGUAGCUAGAAGCUUCGCUUUCUAACGACUGUGUCUCACGCUACGCGAUUACCAUGGGACUUUUCGGAGCAUACGAGAUGUCGACGGAUAUGAUCGAUCUCGUCGGAAAUAACAUUUCUUCCACUUUGCUUCUAUUCUGACCAUGUUCUCGGCGCCUUAUGCCAGCCAUCUUUUUCGUGACUAAUCGAUCGGGCCAAUGACUUCAUAAGCAUGGAAGCAACAUGAAAGCUACUUUUAAAUACGUUUCUUCGAUGUUACUAUUUAUUUUUUUUUUCUUUCUUCUUUUUUCAUAUCCUAGUCCGUUCAAAUGGACUGCCUGCUGUCUUCGUGUGACUAUUUUGAAGAUAGUAAAUAAAUCGAAUAUAUUUCUAAAAAUAAAUAAGUAAUAAAGUACGGGUUCUAUUUUUUUAAUAAUACAAGAAAUAAAUAGAAUACGAUGGUCUUCGAAUAGCACUUUAAAAAUAUUUCGCAUAAUGUAGAGAAUAUAGUACGAAAAAGAGAGAGAAAAGGUGGGCGUUCUUCGAGGAGUUUUACGUGAUGGAAACGAUACGGUAGCAUCGAAUGUGACGGAAAAAGAUAGAAGGAGAGAACGGUAGCGUCGAGUCAAACAGAAAAGUCUUAUUCCCCAUCUGACUCUGACGGCGUCCAUCGCGCUAGAAGCUAACUUUAGUCCCCGCUGACGGGAUUAUCCGUCACUCGAAAUUGGCAGAUCGCAGCCGCGAUCGCAGCAGCAGUCGGAGAUGCGAUCUCUACGGCCAAUUACGUAACCAGGUCGACAUAGCUCGGUGGCAUCGCGACGGAAAUAUUUGGCCUGUAAUAUCGUUCAUUUUCUCUCUUCCUCUUACUCCUUGAAAUUAACUCUAUUGUACACUUUCAAUAUCAAAAAAAUAUAGAUAAAGGCGAUUCCGUCUCAUUAAACAAAAAGAAAAAAAAAAAAAAAAGAAAAACCAAAAUAAUCUAUGAAUCAUCGUCUGAAAUUAAAAAGAUUCCUUGGAUGAGUUUAUUUUCUUAUUCCGAGUUGGCAAACGAUUUCGUCGAAGCCAUUUUGCUUUAUGAAUAUUCGAGUAUGGAUUUGGAAAAAAACGAUGGCAAAAAAUGAAUUAUAUAGAAAAUAUAAGUUCGCGAAAAGAAAAUCAAUGUAUUACGUUAGAACGUUGCCAAGUUCCUAACUACUACUUACCACUUAUUACUAACUUGUAGAAAUGCGUUACAUUGGUAAACGUUUGGCGAAUUCGCUCGGUCGACUAGAUAUACCGAGUACAUCCGAGUGAUGAUAAUUUCUACUGGUCUAGCAAACGAUCAACAUCGUCCGCGCAUUCGGCGUAUCCCGAGUAAACUCAUUUGAUGCCCCUGGGACCGAGGGCGAGAUAGAGGAAGAGGAUUAACUCGGUGGAGAUCCUCAAAUAACAGUUUCGCUUGCCGUACCAACCGUAUGACAGGUCAUUUAAUGUUGCAAACCACGAAAUCUCGAAGGAACGAUCGAAGCCACUUUCCCGACCGAUCCUUCGAAUAAUAACAACGUCAUGCGUUUUCCAUCGGCUCAAUUCGACAACUUUGGAUUAUCGAUUUCUUCGAAACAUCUCUUUCUAUUUCUUUCUUUCUUUUAAUCGACAACAAUAAUAAGAAAUAAAUCUUGAAACGAUUCCUUCCGAGGCUUUCGUAUUAAACGCACAAGAACUCAGUUUGUUUUUAAUCUAGUAAAACUAUAAAACGUCAAGUACAGCCAUAAACUAUCCCUCUCCAAGUCGUUAUCGUUUCAGCAUAAUUAUUAUUACUGCUCUUUUAAAAGGAUAUAAAAGCACGUCGGAUACUUUAUCGUUGGUGGUUAACUUAAACGAUUGGACUAGAUGAACGAAAAUAUCAAUAAUUUUUUCAAAGAUUAACGGAGCUUCAUUAUUAAGUUAUCGUAAUUAAAAACAUUUCGAAAGGGUCGAAAAUGCAAAGGGAAAAGCUGAAUUCGAGAUUGAUUUUCUCCUCGUAAAACGUUGAUACGUCCUAUAGAAUCUCUAUGAAUUCUUUUCGUCGUCGACUGCGAACAACGAAUAGGCAAAGUAAUUGUUCUGAUUUAUGCGCCGUGUGAGUCUCGCUUAAGCGACGAACGACACUGGAGCAAGCCAAGGGGAACGCGAUGUUCAAUUAUAUGGCCAACUGGCUGUACGCCAAUCACGCUUUGGUACAUACGUACUUAUGUACUUACGUUCCUUUGAUUCGUUCGUUUCGCUCGAUCAUCGCCGUGGGUCUUGCCUUCCGCUAUGAGCCUUCCAUGCUAGACGAUGAUCGUUCGUAAACUAAACUUUUGCGAAAGAUCGCAUAUGUUUUUCGUCUGUUUGACUUUUACGUACGAACUUUCUUGUUUCUUUUUAUAUUUGUUUACUAUACAAGGUGGUAUUUCACUAGCGUUUCGUAUAUUCCUAAUUGACCUUCAAGGAUAAAUAAUCAUUGAUUUCCGUACUGUCGAUUUAUGUCAAUGAAAAUGUUAUUUACCCAUUAGACAAAUGAAAACUAAUUUAUUGAAAUACGACGAACUAUUUGUGCCUAUGCACGUAUCGUUCGUUUAUGUAUCACUUUUGAAAAUAUUUAUCUUGUUUUUCCCUUUCCUACGUAUCGAAAUUAAACUUUGAAGAAAGUUUCGAAAUAGGUCAAGAUCGAGUCGAUUCCGUCGUGCUAUUUAGAACCUCAUCGUUCGCAGAAACUAGGUUGAAAUAUUUUUUCUCUUUUUUUUUUUCUUCUCUUUCUUUUUUUUUCUUUUUUCAAAGCGGACUUUAUAAUUAAACGAAAAAUCGUCAAAGGACAAACUUUUUUUUUAGAAUUAUCCGUAUUAAAGACAUCUUCUAUUUUUUCUUUUUUUCUUUCCCGCAAUGAUCGAUUUUUACGACGAAUGGAAAACUGGUAUUUCCUUGAACGUCGUAUAACGUCGUUUUAUUUCGAAAACGAGUGGUCGAUCUCACUUUUUCGUGCUUGCCAUCAUGCCACCCACCUACGAUCGUUUUUCGUCGUCGGAUGAAUAAAACAGACGACUUCGUAAUCGUAAAUCGAUUUGCCCGGAAAAUACUACUUUAAUGAUCCCUGCCAUAUUUUACGAGCUUAUAUCUAUCCUUUGUAGCGAGACAAGGGUGGCACGGUCAGGCAGUUCUAUCACUGUCACCUACGAACAGAAGGGAACUGCUGCUUUCUAUUAUAACGACGUUUCGCAUUUAUUUAUCAUCGAAAUCUAACUACCUUUCUUUCUUUUUUUCGAGAUCAAUCAAUUCAAAUGUUAAAUCGACUAAUUAUAAUUAUCGAUGAUAACUAUGAUUAUAUGCUAUAUCUAUCGUAUAAAACAAUUUUGCCAAGAGAUUUAUCAUCGACGAAUAAGUCACGGUUUCGUUAUAGACGCUUGUAAAUCAUCGAAAGCAAUUGAUCGAUCGUGACAGACACGUUUCUCUAGAGAUCGAUUCAAGAUGCUUCGAGAUGUUCGUCAAAUUGACGCAAAUAGAUUAGUGCCAAGUAGAUCGCAAACAAGGCCAAAUAUCUUUAUCGUUCGUAAAAGUGUCUAAGGUUAAGUGACUCGCGAACGAAUUAGUUGAAAGACUCUCGAUUAAUUCUCUGCUCCCAAGUAAUUCUCUUUCUUUUUUCCUUCUUUUUAUCUGCUUUUUCUUCGCAGUGCACUCAUCGAGAUUAAGGCCGAUGUCGAAGAGAACGCACGAAAGUUGGGUGACCAUCGAUUCGAGGUGCGGACUUUUUCCUAGAAAUUUAAAGGCAAAGUCGCAUGGUUCUCUCUGAGUGAGAGCGGUAAUCGUAAAGUUCGACGCCGAAAAGAAAAGAUUCCGAAGAGAAACUUUAACUGCAAAGUCCUACAGUAUGUACGCAAACGCUAUCGAAGAAAGCUUAUCGAUCUCCCUCUCCCUUUCAUUCUAUUUCUUUCUCAUUUUCUUAUGCUUGCAGCUACUCUUUCAAGAUUAUCUAUCUUAGUUAUGUUUCAUAGGGUAUGAAAAUUUUAUUUUCUCUCUCUAUCUAUUUAUCUAUUUCCCGUAAUUGUAAGAUAUUUAUCAGUUAUCGUCAUUAUUUCGUUCGAUUUACACAUAUCCAUUGAAAAUCGUAGAAAUUAUUCGCGACAAAAUUAAUUGCGCCAAGCCAAAGUUUUUCAAUCUCCGUUGAACGCUGGAACGAUAUUAACUCGAUUAUUUCCUCCAAUUAAGUCAGGAAGAAAAAGAAGAUAAAACACACAGAGUUGCGCUUUCUUUUCGCCGGCGUGACGAGGAUUUUCUCGGGAAUAAAAAAGGCAAAGUUCACCAAAUUUAUCAGGUGAUAAAUUAAUUUUAAAGCCGUUUAAUCGUUAUCCCUUUCACAGCUCUAUUCUUCAAUGCGAAAUAAAAAAGUAUUUCAUCCCUUUCCUUUUAUUUCUCUUAUAAAGAUCGGCAGACUAUGAUUGCAUUUAGCUUUGAUUCGAAUUAAUAAAUAAAAAUAAAAGUAUCUUAACGCAAUGCAUUCGUUCGCUAAACGAUUCUUAUAGCUUUUGUACAAUUUAACGGUAAUAUCGAAAGACCUACAGGAUGGAUAAAAGUGACAGGACGAUUGACAUGACCAAAUCGAGUAUAACGGUUGAACUAUGUUGAGGGAGGGAAAGAGACACAGAGAGAAGAGAAAGGAUGAGACGUAUAGAAUCGAAAACCGACGUGAAUCUGGUGCCCAAACGACAGGUGGAUCUGCGGGUAGCAACGAGUUUCAGGCCAUUACUACCAUUGAAUAUUUCAGCGAUGGGACGCGCUGGGAAGUUGCCGAGGGAAGACAGAGAAACGGACGACCCUGCGUCUAUUAUUUAUUGCGUUACACUCGCGGCAAGGCAAAGCUCUCCCUCCCUCUCUUUCUCUGUGUUUCGCGCACCCUGCAAACGUUCCUACGUCUCACCCCUAUCACUGCCGGUCCCGUACAUCAUUGCACAUUAUUCAUACGACGAAAUUUGAAUUAUACAUUCAAUAGGAACGUCGAGACGUCUCGUAGAGAUGCCUUGAGUGCAACCACGACGUUCCUUUCCGUACUAAACUAUGAAAACUAACGUUCGAGUAUGGCAUCCAGAGCAUACUAUUUGGAAAAUGUCUGGAAAAGGAAUGGAACGUCGAAUGGAUGGAAAUAAUAGUCUAGAAAGGUUCCUGUCGAUCGAGCAAAUAUUGCGAUUGACGGAAUUUUGGAAACUUAGUUUCCGACGAUACCAAGAGGGAGAUAGAGAUAGAGAGAGAUAGAGAAAGAGAGAGAGAGAGAGAGAGAGAGAGAGAGAGAGAGAGAGAGAGGCCAAAAUAAUAUCACUACUCAAAAGAAAUGUUUUCAUUACACUUUGGUCCUGGCAUCGCAACGCAUCUUCGUCAGCUCCAUAGAAAUUGCAGUUUUAGUCGGGUCGUGCAUUUUGAUAAGGGGAGCUAAUAGAGCGCGCUCGACUUUUUCUAUGUAUACCCGUUCUUAUGUACACGUACACGUACGUAGCUACAUAGGUAAAUACAUACGCACUCACUGCUCUUUAUAUUACGCGAGUUUAAAUUCGUUCCAUCUCGGCCGACAGAAAAUAGAGAUUUGUAGAGUUAAACUCCGUCGUCGAGCGUUGGCCGAGAUGGAAAACUAGAAAUAUAAAGAGAGGAUGAGAGGAACACAGAGUUCGUGCGGAAUGCGAGACGUUCAUAUCCAUCGUAAAACGAAUCGCGUAAACAAGAGCGCACGCGUGCUCUUCCAUCCUACGAUUAAAUAUUCGUCUUCUCUUUUCUUCCAUAUACAUUGCAUCGCAUAGUCCUUAUAGAGAUGAGUGAGGGAGAGAGAGAGAGAGAGAGAGAGAGAGAAUAAAAGAAAAAACAUGAAAAAUAAAAUUAUGCCUAUAAGAUAGCCGUACGUACCGCAUUGUAAACAUUGAAAGCCCAUACUGUUUCUACUUCUCUUUAAUCUUUACUUACACAAUGUAUCCGCUACCUCAUUAUUCAAGGUAUGAUGAGCGAUGAAUUAUAUUAUAUUACACUCGUGGUUAUUACUUCACGUACGUUGCAGCGAAUAACAGCGAGCGCGAAAGAAACAUUUUUAUUUUUCUUUUUUCUUUUUUCACUCGAUAUUAUCAUUCAACGAUCGUGGCUUUAACACGAUACGAACGAAAGACGCAUUGAGGGUGCAUCAUUGACGCAAUUCAAUUAUCGAUUUCGAUACGUAAAGAGAGAGUAAAAGAAAUAAAGAAAAGAAAUAAGAAGGAACAUUGUUCUUAGAAUUCCCGUAUCCGGCCUAAAUUUCGCUACGAAUUCGAGGUUUCGCGGCACGAGGCAUGGCACUCCGCGGAUAAUUCCGGAAAUUGGAGCUGCGAGUUCUGCUUCUCGUCUAGGAGACGCACGUUUUAACCCCGUAGAAUUUUCUCCUCUGAAACGUUUCUUCCUCCGCCAUUCACAUUACCAUUUUCCGCGCAGAAAGAGAGUUUUUAACAUUCACAGAGCAAAGGGGGAUUAAACGAUUUAAAAGAUUGUCGAGAAAUUAUGCAUUCCAUUUGAAGGACGCGUCAAAGGGUUCCCUCAGCGAGAAAGAGAGCGAUAGAGAGGAAGAGGGGGAAACGGAGAUAGAUAGAGAAAGAAAAACGUAGACGGGAGGAAAAGAGAGAGAGAGAGAGAGAGAGAGAGAGAAGAAACGUUUAGGAACACAUUCGAGUCUCCGCUUCUUCUGUGAAGAGCUUUUUUCAAGCUUUUAAAACAUAAUACAAUGAAGAACAGAGAGAGAGAGAGAGAGAGAGAGAGAGAGAGAGAGAGAGAGAGAGAGGGAGAGAGAGAGAGAGGGAGAGAGAAGAAAAAGGCGCAGCUCGUCGAAAGAUAAAUUCUAAAGCGUUACGACAAAUCGUAUUUGAACGGACACGCGAAGAUCUUUCUCUCUUUCCUUCUUUCUUCCUUUCUUUCUCAAAAACUCUCCAAGUAUAAGAAUCGAUUGUGAGUUUCCGACGUUAAUACCGGACUGAAAGCUCAAGGCAACCUUACGAAAGACGGUAGAGACGAGCAGUCUGACAAUAAUUUAUAGCGAAGUACAUCGUAGAGAACAAUUAGAGGCACGCGAUCGGUUUACAACACGCAACUCUUUGAAAGUGAAAUUUCCAAAUAAUCGAGAAGGACCAAUCGUUCUUAACCAAUCUUGGCGGCUAUAACAUGAUAAAGGAAUUUCGAUUUCGAUAAGUGCACGUAAUACGCAAACUAUCGUAUCGCGAGCUAUCUCUCAUAAUUACUCAAAUCUUGAACGUUAUAAUCUCGAUAAAAGAUGUCACUGUGUAAACAGAAUUAGAAAGAGAUAGAGAGAGAGAGAGAGAGAGAGAGAGAGAGAAAGGGAAGAAUGGACAAUGAAAUUCGCACGAAUCUAUCGAUGUCUAUAAUUUUCAAGGAUAGCAAUAGAAUCGAAAGAGAGAACGAAUGGAUGGACGAAAACGUAGUAGCAUUAAUCGUUGCGAAAACGAUCGAGUAUAAAUUCGAAAACCAAAACCAGCUCGAUCCUCGAAAAUUUGUAAAGUUUCCACCCAGUCCUUUCCAUUCUCGGUCGCCUCGUGUUUUACGUUGCAACGACCAAUUCGACACGUUUAUUUAGAUCGACCGAAUUAUAAAAGCUCGGCUACUGUAUUAUAUUGGACGUAUUUUAAUCGCGGUAUCGCACAUACAGAACGUAUCUUCCAGUCGAUUUUGCAGUUGCCAAAUUAAAAUAACUUUACGGGUUGUCCGGUGAUGCCGGUAGUCGUGUUGUUGGUUUUGAUAGCAACGAAGCGGACAAAUGCUGCAAAUGAAGCAGAAGAAGGAAACAGAGACGACACGGAAACAAGAUAAAAAAGAAAAAAAGAGAAAAAGGAAAAGGAAAAAACGGUCGAGAAAAAGGAAAAGGAGAAAGAUUUCCUUUUAUUUGAUCCAACGAGUGAGUCAGAAGAACAGAGAGAACGAGGGAAAAGGAGAGAAAGAGAAAGAGAGAAAAGACGAAAGAGAUCGAGCUGUAAGAGCAGCGACACUCGUCGAGCCUGCAACGAAUUGCUUCUCAUAGAAAAACGUUCUUUCCCUUCCUUCUCUAUCCUCAUUUGGCCACCCUUGGACGUUCUUCGUGACGAACUGCUUCUUAAUUUCGUAAGUGAGGAAGAAGAAGAGGAAGAAGAAAAAGAAGAAGAAAAAGAAGAAGAAGAAAAAGAAAUAAGAGAAACAGCGACAACGAAAACAGGAGACUUUCGUGAAAAGGCAAGCUUCCUUACGUCGAAUUCACCCUCAUUCGCCGUUUUCGCCCUCUGUCUUUCCUCCACCUCCCCUUUCCAUCCGUACCGGCGAUAAUGAAAAAGCUGCGGGUCGUUCUAAGGUGCAGCAAAAUGAGACAUCGACCAGGAGGAGCACCCUACAAUUUUGCCACUUUAUCCGACUCCGUCGAAGCACGUGCUUUUUGGCUUUAUCGAAAUCAAGGUUGAAGAGCAUCGAUCCCUAACUCGACAGAUAGACAUGUUUUCUUUUUCUCGUAGUAAUGAUAAGAAUGGUUUACGAAAAAUUGACGUAGAAUGGAAUGAGACGAAAUAGGACAGUAUAGAGUAGAAUAGAAUAGAAGAGAAUAGAAUAGGAUGAAAUAGGAUAGAGUAGGAUAGAAUAGAACAGAAUAGAAUAGAAUAGAAUAGAAUAGAAUAAAGUGGAACAGAAUAAAAUAGAAUAGAACAGAACAGAAACUGAAUCCUCUCAAUCGUUAUUUCUGAUCGAAGUUUUAAGCGAAACGUUGACAUACAUUUUUCCCCACGCAUUUCUCGAAACUUUUCUGUUUACCGAUAUUCAACGUUUUUUGCGUUUGGAUCAUUUUCAGGAGAAACUUAUUCUCGAUCGGUUAUGACGAAUCUUUGUGGGAUAAGUCGAUGAAACGAGCCUUCCUCCCAAAAUCGAAACCCGAAAGAAAGGAAGGAAGGAAGGAAGGAAGGAAGGAAGGAAGGAAGGAAGGAAGAAGAAGAGUUGAGUUUCGAGUAUCCACCGGUCCGUUCACGAUCAUUUCCAUAGAAUGAAACGCCGCGCGCCUUUGUCAACGAUCAAUCGGCUGUCAUGCAUCAGAAGUGAUUUGAUUUCGCAUAAACGGAUAUGAAAGCCAGAAGGUUGGUGUCCGACAAGAUGAACACGGUGGGCACGGUGGACAAGCUGGAUCAUUACAAGGUUGUUUCUCAAUGCAACGCGAUGAAACGGAAGGUGGAUGUACGACGAGAGCUUCCGCGAAAGUCAAUGCCAUCUUGGUUGAAACGAUUGCUAAGUUAUACAGCAGCGGAAGUUUGCAGCGGAUAAAAGAAAAGAAAGAAAAGAAAAAAAAACAAAAAAAAAAAAACAAAACAACAAAACGAAAGAACAAACGCAAACAUUCAUGCGUCUGUUCCAUUCCGCAUAAUUUUCAUUCGCUAUCGCAAGAAAAUAAUGAUCCAGGAGACGCUGUAUCUUACUUACAUACGUACAAAAAAAAGACGAUUUCGUAAUCACAACAGACAUUAUAUAAUAAACCGUAUCUUUACAGGGGCAGAUACAUUGUAAAAUGAACAAGGAUAUCUUUUACGAAAUAUACACGCAUUAAGUUGUACGUUUGAUCCAGGAAUCGAUCGGCAACAUUAUGUACAAUACAACCACGAAAGAGUGCAUAACGAUAAUCGUCGCCGAAUCAGCAGCCAACGUGGUUGCACUUUCGAAUUUGGCACGCGGUACGUUUACUUUGCCCGUCGAUUUCCAUUUAGGUGUCCCUUUUGCACUGUAUUUUUUCCAAGAGUCGGGACGUCUAAACGCGCAAUGCUCUCGCUUCCUGGUAUAUUUCAUAAAAAUAAAAUGGGAGAUGAGAGAAGAAAGAAUUUUAACAAAGAAAAAAAAAGAUGAAAUACGAGAAAGCCUCCUUUUCUCUCUCUUUCUCUCUUCCUCUCCCCUUUAUCUUUAUCUCUCUGUUUCCUCCUAUUUCUAUCUAACGCACAUUAGAUAUCGUUUUAGAAUUUUCCAGGAAAAACGGAGCUUGCGUUCGACCGGGCGGACUCAUCGGUCCAGUUUUCGACUUCCAACCAGCUUGAAAUACGCGCUCACCCAACGUACGCGCGGAGCGAGGGGUUGAAAAAAGGGGUAGUAUAGAAAAAAAAAAGGUAGGUAAAGGAAGAAAAUGAAAUAAAAACAAUAAUAAUAAGUACCUAAGACGAAAUGUCAGUAACGAAUCGCCGUGGCUGCGUUAUAUACACGUUUUACCUCUCGCUCGCUCUCUCUCUCCCUCCCUCCCUCUCAAUCUUUCUCUCGCUUGCUUACUUUCCUUUUUUUAUUCUUUUCUUUCUGUACGCACGCUUAUGUUUCCCGAGAGAAGCUUAAAGUAUAAGCUAUCCUGGAAACUGAGAAGGACGCCGACGAAAUCCAUCGCACCGGUUACUCGCGAAUAACAAGCAACGAUCGUGACUGGAUAUGUCUCCUCUUUGUGCUCUGUACGUGUACGUGUGUUUCUUGUGUUUCAUGUAUAGCGUGUACGUUGUAUGUGUAUGUAUUAUUAUUCGAUGCUUUUUAAGUACAUGGACUAACCAACAUUUUUAUAAGUACUGCCGCAAAUACAUAACGAUCACGCUUCUGCUUCUUUAUAAACCUUCUACUGUAUUUUAUCUUUCAUUCUCCGUCUCUCUCGUUAUAUAUAUAGAUAUAUAUAUCUCUCUCUCUCUCUCUCACACACUCUUUCCCUCCUUUUUCUUUUCGAUCUCUGUUUUCCUUUUAAUCUCUUUUGAUUUUCGGGACGGACGGAAGGUGGCUUCACGAAAACCAUCCAUACUGAUCUCCGAAAAGCCACGACGACGAAUGCUCCUUGAUAUUUUUGUCUUUGUAUUCUGUUGUAUUUUGUCUUUGUAAUCUAAUCGCUUAUGCAAUGAUAUUGCUUCGCUUUUCGAUAAAAUAUUAUCUCUAACUUAAAACUAAUCUCUAGAGGUAACGAAAAAUAUCACAAUUUCAUAAACGAAACUGCUCAUUUUCCCGACACGAAUACUAUACGAACGAUAAAACAACCGAUAAUAAAAAGCGACUAUUGUAGUAUACAUUCUUCGAGAAGAAUGUGUUGUUGCAUGAUGGGCAAGUGUGAAGACGAUCGCCUACACAUUUCCAAUAUUUAUAUUUGCAUUUAAUGCAAAAUCCAGACGAUCUGAGGAUUUUGAUUUUUUCAUGAAUCCAGUUAGAAAAAUGAGGCUAACAUCGUCGCACACUUAGAAAUCAUACAAAACCAUUGUUAAUCAAUUAGCACAUAGUUUAAUCGAUAAUUAGUGAUCUUAAAUAAAUGAAUCGAUCACCAAUAUCACGUACUCAACCUCCGAUCAAAGACUACGCUACGCGAGCGAUGGUGAGAAGAAGCUGUUAACGGCGGACCUGGCAUCACUUAAAUUCACUACGCAGCUACGCGUGUAUAAAGCGUAUAGGGGAGGUGAUAAGAAGGAUAAAUUGGCAGAACGGUCUUCUAAAAUAUCCUCCGAAACUUAUAAAAAGUGUAAUACACAAGUCUUAUAUAGUACACACGUGUCAUGUACCAAGAAUGAAUCUUUUCAAUAAAUAAAUUCCCUAAGCGAAGACAAUAUUUUAUGAAACUUCAUAAAGUAAUGCGAUUAAAUCUGCGAGAGGCAGGCAUUCGUCGUUGUUCUUUUCUCAAUCAUAUCGGUUCAUUAAAUCGCUCUUUCUCUAUCUCUUUUAAUCGAAUUACAUUUAAAUAACUACUUUAUGUACAAUGCAUACAGAUCAUCCAAGUAACGAUCGAGCGCGUAUCUCGUAAUAUCAAUUUCAUAAAGAAAAGAAAAUGUAAGCUUCGCUUUUCUAUUUUGAGACGCGCUCGCUCGUCCUUCUCUCCCUCAUUCGUUCCAUUCUUUCGACUUGUUCUGCUUCCGAUCCGUUACGAAAAAUAAAACGAAAGCGUAGCCACCGCUAAUGAAAGACAGAAAGCCCCGAGAUGAAAUACUACCGCGAUUUUUUUUUCGUUUUUUCGUUUUUUCGUUUUUUUUUCCGUUUUUUUUUUUUUUUUUCUUUUUUUUUUAUUCUAGUACAAGGGAUCGAGGAGUUUCUCUCUUGAGUUUGUUUCUCGUCAAAUUGGACGAUCGUUUUCUGUCUCUCUCUCUCUCUCUCUCUCUCUCUCUUUCUCACUCUUCUACAGCGUUCCAUUUCAUUUCACUCAGUUUACUAAAUUUAUCGAUAUGCAUUACGUCAUGAUACAUUGUAUCUCGAUAUUCGUGAAAGUAUACGUUCUCCUUUGAUCGCUCCUAUAAUCCUCGAUAAUAUUAAAUGCAAUUCGAUCAUACGUAUAAUAGACAACGAUAGUGCAGGAUGUACUGCUUUCUAAUUUCAACAUCUAAAUUCUUUGUUUAUUUUAAGUAACUACGUGCAUUUUGCCGGAUAGGGAACGGUAGAGUAGUCGGUGCUUUGAUAACUCGUGAUCGUAUCCAAUCGAAUACAUAUCACAGUUCCAUCGUGAAAACAUUGACGUUUAAAAUAUCACGAAUUCGAUCAAUUUCAAACUUAUCAAAAACGAAUAAUCGAACGUGCCUUAUACGACCACGAGCCGGACUACGUGUUUAUUUUCAUGCUUUUUUCUCUUUUUUUUUUUUCUCCUUUUCCGAUUACGAAACAAAAACAAAAACAAAGAUAAAAAGUAACAAAAUGUCUCAAAAUAGAGCCAUAAGAAGAUAGACUCUUGUGCAGCGUAAUCUUGGUGCGUACAAUUUUGCGUCUCAUGCAGAACAACGAUAACCGCUCUCGGCUGGAGCCUAGACUAUCGAGAUUACUUUUAAUAUUCGAAUAUUAAUCGUCAUCGGACGAACAUUUAAAUAUGCAACUAGCAGAUAUGCAGCCCUUCUUCGAAGGCUGCCUUUCUUCGCAUAAGUACUCUUUUUAUCGUCGUCUACAGUCUUUUUUUCGAUCGAUCCAAGAAGACACACACACACACACACACACACACAUAUAUGUAUACAUAUAUGUGUGUAUAUACACACACACACUCUCUAUCUCUCUCACACACACACACACAUACA